This is a non-coding RNA of Pseudomonas putida KT2440, 52 nucleotides long. The record is from Rfam. NCBI's taxonomy places the organism in Bacteria, Pseudomonadati, Pseudomonadota, Gammaproteobacteria, Pseudomonadales, Pseudomonadaceae.
UUAGUCUCGGUGGGUCGUUGCUCAUCAACGACCGGCUUUGACAGGCCGCAAC